CCUACGGGUGGCAGCAGUGGGGAAUAUUGCACAAUGGGGGAAAGCCUGAUGCAGCAACGCCGCGUGAGCGAUGAAGGCCUUCGGGUUGUAAAGCUCUGUCCACAAGGAAGACAAUGAAGGUACUUGAGGAGGAAGGCAUGGCCAACUACGUGCCAGCAGCCGCGGUAAUACGUAGGGGGCUAGCGUUAUCCGGAAUUACUGGGCGUAAGGGGUGCGUAGGUGGUUUCGUAAGUCAUAGGUAAAAGGUAAGGGCUCAACCGUCUAGGGCCUGUGAAACUGGGGAGCUGGAGUGCAGGAGAGGAGAGUGGAAUUCCUUGUGUAGCGGUGAAAUGCGUAGAUAUUAGGAAGAACACCAGUUGCGAAGGCGGCUCUCUGGACUGUUACUGACACUGAGGCACGAAAGCGUGGGGAGCAAACAGGAUUAGAUACCCGAGUAGUC
Molecule: ribosomal RNA, 439 nt
Filed under: uncultured bacterium
Lineage: Bacteria
Description: partial 16S ribosomal RNA
Rfam family: Bacterial small subunit ribosomal RNA
Source: RNAcentral